RNAcentral lists this ribosomal RNA (322 nucleotides) under uncultured eukaryote. RNAcentral's name for it is "partial 18S ribosomal RNA". It matches the Rfam family "Eukaryotic small subunit ribosomal RNA", at positions 1470 to 1796 of the family's 1831-position model. The record is from RNAcentral.
CCCUUAGAUGUUCUGGGCCGCACGCGUGCUACACUGAGUGGAUCAGCGGGUCAGGUUGCGCGAAAGUGUUUCCUAAUCUUUAAAUCCGCUCGUGAUGGGGAUUGACGGUUGCAAUUUUCCGUCAUGAACGAGGAAUACCUUGUAAGCGCGGGUCAUCAUCCCGCGCUGAAUACGUCCCUGCCCUUUGUACACACCGCCCGUCGCUCCUACCGAUUGAGUGGUCCGGUGAGGCUUUGGGAUCUGAGCGGAAAGAGCGUUUCGCAGUUUCUGCCCGGAAAACUCAGUCGAACCUUAUCAUUUAGAGGAAGGAGAAGUCGUAACA